GACGAACGCUGGCGGCGUGCCUAAUACAUGCAAGUUGAGCGCUGAAGGUUGGUACUUGUACCGACUGGAUGAGCAGCGCACGGGUGAGUAACGCGUGGGGAAUCUGCCUUUGAGCGGGGGACAACAUUUGGAAACGAAUGCUAAUACCGCAUAAAAACUUUAAACACAAGUUUUAAGUUUGAAAGAUGCAAUUGCAUCACUCAAAGAUGAUCCCGCGUUGUAUUAGCUAGUUGGUGAGGUAAAGGCUCACCAAGGCGAUGAUACAUAGCCGACCUGAGAGGGUGAUCGGCCACAUUGGGACUGAGACACGGCCCAAACGCCUACGGGAGGCAGCAGUAGGGAAUCGUCGGCAAUGGACGAAAGUCUGACCGAGCAACGCCGAGGGAGGGAAGAAGGUUUUCGGAUCGUAAAACUCUGUUGGUAGAGAAGAACGUUGGUGAGAGUGGAAAGCUCAUCAAGUGACGGUAACUACCCAGAAAGGGACGGCUAACUACGUG
RNAcentral lists this ribosomal RNA (497 nucleotides) under uncultured bacterium. RNAcentral's name for it is "partial 16S ribosomal RNA". It matches the Rfam family "Bacterial small subunit ribosomal RNA", at positions 28 to 507 of the family's 1533-position model. The record is from RNAcentral.